AUACCAAAAAGUAAUUAUCUUAAACCUAAGUAUUUAAAGUUAUGUACUUGAAAUUUGAAGAAUUUGGCGGUGAUUUAGUCUUGUCAGAGGAACCUGUUUUUAAAUCGAUACACCACGAAGAAUCUUACUUAAACUUGUAAAGUAGUAUGUAUACCAUCAUUAUUAGGUAAUUUUUAUAGAAUAAAUUACUGAAAGAUAGUUAUUAAUAGUGUUAAAUAUAUUAGAUCAAGGUGCAGCUAAUGUUUAAGUUAAAAUGGGUUACAAUAAAAAUUUAUUUAAUACGGAAUAUUAAUUUAAAUAAUUAAUUAGAAGGAGGAUUUGAUUGUAAAUUAAAUUUAAUAUGUUUAAUUAGAUAUAAGCUCUAAAUCAUGUACAUAUCGCCCGUCGCUUUCAUUACUAAAAUGAGAU
RNAcentral lists this ribosomal RNA (408 nucleotides) under Scylla tranquebarica (purple mud crab). RNAcentral describes it as "partial 12S ribosomal RNA". Lineage: Eukaryota; Metazoa; Arthropoda; Malacostraca; Decapoda; Portunidae. The record is from RNAcentral.